AUCCUUCAGUUCAAGAGAGUGAUGAUUGGGUGUUCAUGCUAUUGUGUGAGAUGGGCCUUCCUUUAAACCUUUUUACAACUUGAGCACAGUAGGUCUGACG
Sciurus vulgaris (Eurasian red squirrel) is the source of this 100-nucleotide small nucleolar RNA. The record is from Ensembl. Lineage: Eukaryota; Metazoa; Chordata; Mammalia; Rodentia; Sciuridae.